GUAGUUGACUCCGUGGCUCGAGGACGACGCUGGCGGCGUGCUUAACACAUGCAAGUCGAGCGGUAAGGCCCUUCGGGGUACACGAGCGGCGAACGGGUGAGUAACACGUGAGCAACCUGCCCCUGACUCCGGGAUAAGCGGUGGAAACGCCGUCUAAUACCGGAUACGACCCCCGGGUGCAUGCCCGAGGGUGGAAAGUUUUUUCGGUCAGGGAUGGGCUCGCGGCCUAUCAGCUUGUUGGUGGGGUAAAGGCCUACCAAGGCGAUUACGGGUAGCCGGCCUGAGAGGGCGACCGGCCACACUGGGACUGAGACACGGCCCAGACUCCUGCGGGAGGCAGCAGUGGGGAAUCUUGCGCAAUGGGCGAAAGCCUGACGCAGCGACGCCGCGUGGGGGAUGACGGCCUUCGGGUUGUAAACCUCUUUUACCACUCACGCAGGCCCGGGGUUUUCUCCGGGUUGACGGUAGGUGGGGAAUAAGGACCGGCUAACUACGUG
Molecule: ribosomal RNA, 497 nt
Filed under: uncultured Nocardiopsis sp.
Lineage: Bacteria; Bacillati; Actinomycetota; Actinomycetes; Streptosporangiales; Nocardiopsidaceae
Description: bacterial SSU rRNA
Rfam family: Bacterial small subunit ribosomal RNA
Source: RNAcentral